Molecule: ribosomal RNA, 497 nt
Filed under: uncultured bacterium
Lineage: Bacteria
Description: partial 16S ribosomal RNA
Rfam family: Bacterial small subunit ribosomal RNA
Source: RNAcentral
GAUGAACGCUGGCGGCGUGCCUAAUACAUGCAAGUCGAGCGAACAGACGAGGAGCUUGCUCCUCUGACGUUAGCGGCGGACGGGUGAGUAACACGUGGAUAACCUACCUAUAAGACUGGGAUAACUUCGGGAAACCGGAGCUAAUACCGGAUAAUAUAUUGAACCGCAUGGUUCAAUAGUGAAAGACGGUUUUGCUGUCACUUAUAGAUGGAUCCGCGCCGCAUUAGCUAGUUGGUAAGGUAACGGCUUACCAAGGCAACGCUGCGAAGCCGACCUGAGAGGGUGAUCGGCCACACUGGAACUGAGACACGGUCCAGACUCCUACGGGAGGCAGCAGUAGGGAAUCUUACGCAAUGGGCGAAAGCCUAACGUAACAACGCCGCGUGAGUGGUGAAGGUCUUCGGAUCGUAAAACUCUGUUAUUAGGGAAGACCAAAUGUGUAAGUAACUAUGCACGUCUUGACGGUACCUAAUCAGAAAGCCACGGCUAACUACGUG